This 222-nucleotide unclassified non-coding RNA is filed under the name Hevea brasiliensis (rubber tree). Lineage: Eukaryota; Viridiplantae; Streptophyta; Magnoliopsida; Malpighiales; Euphorbiaceae. The record is from RNAcentral.
UAUUUUAUUUUUUUAUAUUUUUUUAAACUUUUGACAACUUGUCAAUUUAUCCACAGCAACACAAUUGCACACUAUUUUUAAUAUCAUGUAAAAUUGAAAAACCAUGAACAACUGCUUCUUAACAUGCAUUAUGUGAUAGCAUUUAUGCAAGGGAAAAGUUUUAGAAAAGUACCCUGUGAUCUUGUAUUGUGUUAGGACGAUGAGAUUCAAUUAUAUUUUUUU